UACGAAGGGGGCUAGCGUUGCUCGGAAUCACUGGGCGUAAAGCGCACGUAGGCGGCUUCUUAAGUCGGGGUUGAAAUCCUGGGGCUCAACCCCAGAACUGCCCUUGAUACUGAGGAGCUUGAGUCCGGGAGAUGUGAGUGGAACUCCGAGUGUAGAGGUGAAAUUCGUAGAUAUUCGGAAGAACACCAGAGGCGAAGGCGGCUCACUGGUCCGGUACUGACGCUGAGGUGCGAAAGCGUGGGGAGCAAACAGG
Molecule: ribosomal RNA, 253 nt
Filed under: uncultured bacterium
Lineage: Bacteria
Description: partial 16S ribosomal RNA
Rfam family: Bacterial small subunit ribosomal RNA
Source: RNAcentral